CAGCACUGUGACAGUGACUGAUGAGGAGACCGUUGGGAAGGCGAAGGCCUACAUUCUGUUUUAUGUAGAGCGUCAGGCCAGAGCUGGAGCAGAUAAACUGUGAUACCUCCUGACCAUGAUUCAUCUACUAUACCGGACAACAUUUCCAUUCUCCAUAAAUACUUGAUCCAAGAUUUAAUUUCAGUAUGCACUUUUCAAUUUCCAGUUUGGGGUUUUAGUUUGGUCAGUGGUAGUAACUUACCCAAUAUGGGCACCAACUAAUUUUUGUUGUUCUACCAGAAAACCUCAGCAGGCAUUUUGAUUGGCUGCUUUAGUUGUAAUAAUUCAAUUUUUAUAAGUAGUUUCCAGAACUUAGUUCUGUUUGACUUUUUAUAUUAAUGUUUUCAGUUCUCACGGAGGCACAUUUUAUUGCUCUGUACUCACAUGCUGAGAGCCACCCUGCCUGCUGUCUGCAUAGCAGGCAGGUCAGCGACUCCGUUGUGAGGGUCGUGUGUGCAGGUCUGUGACCCGCCGGUUUCACAGUGACUGCUCAGGAAUCCCUUCUGACUGUAGGCCGUAGUAGCUGAAGGUCAGGAGACCAGGCCAUCACCACUGCCUGUGCCUCAGGGUUGCUGUUUCUCAGCAUUAAAUAAAUUUGUCAGUUCCGUUGCGUCUGUGCUCAAGUUCCAGAAUCGCUCUAUUUCUUGUUUCUGUUCUUCUGUUAAUAUUUUCUUGGGGGCAGGCAGACAGGCAGGCUAGGAACUCUGACAAGUGCAAAUAUGUGUUUAAAAGCCCUGUGAUUCAGCUGCAUGACAGAGGUGUGUCCUGUGUGUGGAUUCUGUCUGACCAUCAGAGGUCAGGUCUCCUCCAGACUUGACUUCCAGGCAGAAGUGGAUCAUUGACACUCUGGGUCUUAACCCACUCCCUGCCUAAAGCAGAACCAGGUAUUAAGUAUUUGUCUCUGAACAAGAAUAGUUUCUAUUAAACCCAGUAGCUUAAAAAAUACUGUUCACAAAAAUAGGGUAGAAGCACUAUUUGGAUUCAACCCAAAUUAAAAUUGGUUCAUUUAAAGAAGGCAGCAGCUAGUAGCAAGUGUGGAGGCCAGUGAUCGAGUUUGCAGGUAUUUGUAACCUGCAAGUCAGAGUGUAGAACUCCAGCAUGGCCUGUACCAUAGUCACUUCCUUGAGGGACAAAAAUGUACUUCAUGCAGACUUUUUAGUAAUCUCAUUUUUUUCUAUUAAAAGUUAGUGUAGUAGUUUUCUUAGGUCACUGUGAGGUUGAUGAGGACACAUGACCUAAUUCCAUUUUAAUAUUAACUAGAGAAAUCUUGCAUUCCCUCAGAGCAGAAAUUACACACUGCAUCAGCACCUUAUUAAAACACUAACUUGAAUCCAUACAAUGACUACAUGUGGUUAAGUUGAAAACUCAUUCAUUCCUCAGUCACACUAGUUAGGUCAGGGAUGGACACAGGAAGGUCUAGUACAUUUCCAUAGGGCAUGAGGUCUCUCACACAACACUGGUCUAAGCACUACAGCUUAGAUUUAGUGCAGGGAGAAAUUGAGGAACUGUGCUACGUUACAUGAGGUAGAGGCUUAUGCACUUCUAUUAGUCUACUGGUUUGACCCACAGAUCGAGGGUCGCAUGAUUUGCUCUAAUAUGUCAGGACCUUGAUACCAUCACAGCUAAGCCUGAAUGUAAGUCUCAUCUAACUUUGCACACAGCUCCUGCUAAUCCAGGCUCCUCUGGCAUUUGUGUCUUGGCCUCUGAAUAGGCACUUGUAAUGACUUACACAAUACUCAGACAGAGCUGACACUGUCACACCAGGUGGGACAGCAGCAGCAGACUGGGCUGCCAUGUUGGGGAGAUUGGUCAUUAGACAGGCAACACUGUUGACACAAAAGGGAAUGAAUGUCUCUGGGAAUUUUUGUAGCAGCUUUAUUGCUUGAUUUUGCUUAAGCAACAAUGGCCGAGUGGCACCAUGAAGACUCUGAGGAAGUGACUGCCCAUUGGCUGUGCCCACGAACACCCAUGAUGUCCAUGUGCCUAUUUGUUUGUAAUCUGUGUAGCCUUACUGCACCUGUUACAAGCGUAUCUCUGUACUGUCUAGGGCUGGCUUUCCCCAUGUGUGCUAACCGGCAUGCAACUUCUUGCUCAGAGCUUAUGCUGAGGCAGGGCCUCAUGCAUGCCCUGUCCCAUCAGCCCCUGGCAACAGGAAACUCCAAGUCUUCCCACACAGGUGGGGAUAGAAACUGUGGCAACAUAAGUCUCUCUCCAUGGUGGAGAAUCCUAUGCUUAUCCACUGUAUUCUACUCAGUGUGUAGUGACAGAUGAUGUAAUUAAACCAGUCACAUGUGCUGGCGCUG
This 2342-nucleotide long non-coding RNA is filed under the name Rattus norvegicus (Norway rat). RNAcentral's name for it is "long non-coding RNA NONRATT028708". The record is from RNAcentral. Lineage: Eukaryota; Metazoa; Chordata; Mammalia; Rodentia; Muridae.